GGCCGCGUCGACGGCUCAGAUUGAACGCUGGCGGCAGGCUUAACACAUGCAAGUCGAACGAUGACUCUCUAGCUUGCUAGAGAUGAUUAGUGGCGGACGGGUGAGUAACAUUUAGGAAUCUACCUAGUAGUGGGGAUAGCUCGGGGAAACGUCGAAUUAAUACCGCAUACGGCCUACGGGUGAAAGGGGCGGCAAGCUCUUGCUAUUAGAUGAGCCUAAAUACAGAUUAGCUAGUUGGUGGGGUAAAGGACCCACCAAGGCGACGAUCUGUAACUGGUCUGAGAGGAUGAUCAGUCACACCGGAACUGAGACACGGUCCGGGUCGACGCGUGAGCGAAGAAGUAUUUCGGUAUGUAAAGCUCUAUCAGCUGGGAAGAAAAUGACGGUACCUGACUAAGAAGCCCCGGCUAACUACGUG
Molecule: ribosomal RNA, 418 nt
Filed under: uncultured bacterium
Lineage: Bacteria
Description: bacterial SSU rRNA
Rfam family: Bacterial small subunit ribosomal RNA
Source: RNAcentral